UUCAGAUUUUGGGUAUAAUAUUGAUCUUGAUGUCCUUGAGUUGUUUCUGGAUCUAUAUCUCAAAGACUCAAACAAUGAAGAAGAUGCUCUAAGUUGGCACUAUAGCUUUUCUGAAAUAUAUAUGCUACAAAUUCGAGAAGAAGUAUGCAGUGCUCUCUGACUGGAAUAGGAUCUGUGGUUAAAGGGAGUACAAGUGCAAUUGUGGAUCUACCUUCUCUAGGCGUGAUAGUUUAAUCAAUCUCCAUUCAAUAUGCCAAAUGUUUGUGGGAGAGGUAGCUAGGCACACAACAAAUGGCCCCCGAAGCAGAAGAAGCAUGACUGCUCGAAUACAUGCAAAUGCGAGUAAUAUGCCUCUUCAUCCAUUUUGGGAGCCAAAACUUAAUAUUCCUAGAUCCUCUUAAUAUUCGGAGAUUCAUGGCUUUCCUAGCAACAUAGCACCGAGCAACAUGUUUGAUUUUGGUUUUGAUGGUAGUGCAAAACCAUAACCAAGUUGGAAUUUGAAUUUGAAAGGAGGAAGAUAACAAAGACCUAAUCUGGAUACAGACAGGCACCAAUGUUGCUAAUUAUAUUUGCAGAUGGUUAACAUGUCAAUUCUAUGUUGGCAAAUUUGGGUUUCAGGCAACACCACUAGCUAGUUAACAUGUCAAUUCUAUGUCAUUCCAAAAUUUAUUAAUUUAUGAUAUCAAUAAAUUGUGUAAACGGAAAGGUUUGUAAUCUUAGCAGACAAGUGCUUGAAUUAAUCAUGUCAGCAAUGGCAAUGCCACAGUAUUUUAUAAUAAUAUUUUGGUGAUUAUAUUUGAUUUAUC
Long non-coding RNA from Daucus carota subsp. sativus, 806 nucleotides. RefSeq lists it as uncharacterized. The transcript has 3 exons. The record is from RefSeq and is a predicted model, not a curated record. Lineage: Eukaryota; Viridiplantae; Streptophyta; Magnoliopsida; Apiales; Apiaceae.